AGAGUUUGAUCAUGGCUCAGAACGAACGCUGGCGGCGUGCCUAACACAUGCAAGUCGAGCGAUGAUUCGCCUCCUCGGAGGCGUUGAUUAGCGGCGGACGGGUGAGUAACACGUGGGUAACCUGCCUCAAAGAGGGGAAUAGCCUUCCGAAAGGAAGAUUAAUACCGCAUAAUAUGUUUUGAUCGCAUGAUCGUAACAUCAAAGGAUUUUCUUCGGAGAUUCCGCUUUGAGAUGGACCCGCGGCGCAUUAGCUAGUUGGUGAGGUAACGGCUCACCAAGGCGACGAUGCGUAGCCGACCUGAGAGGGUGAUCGGCCACACUGGAACUGAGACACGGCCCAGACUCCUACGGGAGGCAGCAGUGGGGAAUAUUGGACAAUGGGCGCAAGCCUGAUCCAGCCAUGCCGCGUGAGUGAUGAAGGCCCUAGGGUUGUAAAGCUCUUUCACCGGUGAAGAUAAUGACGGUAACCGGAGAAGAAGCACCGGCUAACUACGUGCCAGCAGCCGCGGUAAUA
Molecule: ribosomal RNA, 514 nt
Filed under: uncultured bacterium
Lineage: Bacteria
Description: bacterial SSU rRNA
Rfam family: Bacterial small subunit ribosomal RNA
Source: RNAcentral